RNAcentral lists this long non-coding RNA (604 nucleotides) under Hordeum vulgare. Its description in RNAcentral is "long non-coding RNA (HVUL_LNC001064)". Lineage: Eukaryota; Viridiplantae; Streptophyta; Magnoliopsida; Poales; Poaceae. The record is from RNAcentral.
UAAACACGCUGGAUUUUGGCGGGCUACAGGCUGUUUGCCCAACUCUCAAGCGCAUUCAGAGCAGCCUCAUCGCAUAGUAAUGGACUCGAGUAAAUAGUCCAGAUUUGAAACAAAAAAGCCAUUGUCAUACUCUUUGUACAUAUGCAGCACCGCCAAUAUAGGCCGACAUGAAGCCUGUUUUUCCAAUUGAUUUCUUGUGCUGAAUCUAGUUGAAAUAUGGAAACCGCACUUCCUAGUUUGUAUUUGCUUCCGAGGUGCAGUGAUGGAGUAAGCAGAUCUGUAUUUAUAUGAAUGAAUAACCGUCUUAUUGGGAUCGUAGAUGCUGCGUACUUCAUUGAUGACAUGGAGUACUAAGUUUGUGUGAAAUUAUACCAGAUUCUAUGGUUCUCUCAUGAGGUGGAGUUAUUCUGUAGUCUAUCAGUCUGUCUCAACUGUGACGAUGCAACUGAGAUGUUUCCACCUGAUGGUUGGUGAUGCUCUGAACUCUAGUUAAAAGAACCUGGUGAACUUGAUCCAAGAGCAUUUGUUGGUUUACUUGUCACCUUGAAAAUUUAGUAACUAAUGAAUGCUGCUCCUUUGGUAAAAAAGAGAGGCUUUCUUUAAG